Molecule: small nuclear RNA, 108 nt
Organism: Onychomys torridus (southern grasshopper mouse)
Lineage: Eukaryota; Metazoa; Chordata; Mammalia; Rodentia; Cricetidae
Source: RefSeq, a predicted model, not a curated record
UGCUGUCUUCGGCAGCACAUAUACUAAAAUUGGAACGGCACUAUACAAAGAUUAACAUGGCCCCCACUCAAGGAUGACAGACAAAUUUGUGAAGCAUUCCCUAGUUUA